GGGAGGGAGGGGCGGGGGGCGCAGCAGGUGAGCGAAGCUGCGAGGAUGGAGCCCGCCGCGUCAGGGAGAGGAGGAGAGAAGGAGGGAUAUUAGCGGCGACAGGGGGAAGGGGGAGGAGGCGGCCGCCCGGUCUGGCCCGCCGCAGGGAGGGACCGCGGGAGAAGGCAUCGGACCCGGAUCCAGGCGCGGGAGGAUGGGCAACGCCGACUCGAAGCUCAACUUCAGGAAGGCGGUGAUCCAGCUCACGACUAAGACCCAGCCUGUAGAAGCAACAGAUGAUGUCUUCUGGGACCAAUUCUGGGCAGAUACAGCUACUUCAGUCCAAGAUGUCUUUGCCCUAGUUCCAGCUGCAGAAAUCAGAGCUGUGAGGGAAGAAUCUCCUUCAAAUUUGGCUACUUUGUGUUACAAGGCAGUGGAGAAGUUGGUGCAGGGAGCUGAGAGUGGCUGUCACUCUGAGAAGGAAAAACAGAUUGUGCUGAAUUGCAGCCGCCUCUUGACUCGCAUCCUACCCUACAUCUUUGAGGAUCCUGACUGGAGAGGCUUCUUCUGGUCAACUGUCCCUGGGGCGGGGCGAGGAGGGGUUGAUGAAGAUGAUGAAAAUGCUCGGCCUCUUGCUGAAUCAUUGCUUCUGGCCAUUGCAGAUUUGCUCUUCUGUCCAGAAUUCACUGUCCACAGCCAUCGAAAAAAUAAUGUGGAUACGGCGGAAGAUAUUCAUGCCAUCGAUAGCUGUGAAUACAUCUGGGAGGCUGGCGUUGGGUUUGCUCAUUCCCCACCACCCAACUAUAACCAUGACUUAAACAGAACAGAGCUAUUAAAGCUCCUACUGACCUGUUUCUCUGAGGUCAUGUACCUGCCCCCCUCCUCAGACAGCAGCAACACUAAUCCCUGGGUCCAGUUCUUCUGUUCAACUGAGAACAGGCAUGCGCUACCACUUUUCACUUCCCUCUUGAAUAUCGUCUGUGCUUAUGAUCCAGUGGGCUACGGGAUCCCUUAUAACCACUUGCUGUUCUCGGACUAUCGUGAACCCCUGGUGGAGCAGGCUGCCCAAGUCCUGAUAGUCACAUUGGACUAUGACACUUCCACUAGCUCCAGUCCCACAGUAGAUGGCACUACUACUGGAACAGUCAUGGAUGAUGCUGAUCCUCCGGGACCAGACAACCUGUUUGUGAACUACCUGUCUAGGAUACACAGAGAAGAGGAUUUCCAGUUCAUUCUGAAAGGAGUGGCCCGUUUACUUUCCAACCCACUGGUCCAAACCUACCUGCCAAAUUCUACGAAAAAGAUCCAGUUUCAUCAGGAGCUCCUAGUUCUCUUCUGGAAACUCUGUGAUUUCAACAAGAAAUUUCUCUUCUUUGUGCUGAAGAGCAGUGAUGUCCUGGACAUUCUGGUGCCAAUUCUCUAUUUCCUCAAUGAUGCCAGAGCAGAUCAGUCUCGAGUUGGACUUAUGCAUAUUGGUGUCUUCAUCUUGUUGCUGCUGAGUGGGGAGCGAAAUUUUGGGGUUCGCCUGAAUAAGCCUUAUGCUGUGCGAGUACCAAUGGAUAUCCCAGUAUUCACAGGGACACAUGCAGAUCUUCUCAUCAUUGUCUUUCACAAGAUCAUCACCAGUGGUCACCAGCGGCUGCAGCCUCUUUUUGACUGCCUCCUUACCAUCAUUGUGAAUGUAUCUCCAUAUCUGAAGUCUCUUUCAAUGGUAGCUGCUAAUAAACUGCUGCACCUGCUGGAAGCCUUCUCAACCACCUGGUUCCUCUUCUCCACAGUCCAGAAUCACCAUCUUGUCUUCUUUUUAUUGGAGGUUUUCAACAAUAUCAUCCAGUAUCAGUUUGAUGGCAAUUCCAACUUAGUCUAUGCUAUUAUCCGCAAGCGAAACGUGUUCCACCAGCUGGCCAAUCUGCCUACUGACUCACAAUCCAUUCAGAAAGCUUUGCAGCGCAAAAAGAAAGCUCCUGAACCCAUAUCUCGCACAAACUCUCAAGAAGCGAUGUCCAUGGAAGGGUCACGACCAGCUGCACCUGCUGAGCCUGGAACACUGAAGGCCAGCCUAGUAGCAACUCCAGGCAUUGACAAACUCACAGAGAAAGCCCAGGUGUCAGAGGAUGGGACAAUGCGCUCUCUAGAGCCAGAGUCUUCACAGACUCCAGCAGAAGGCAGCCCCCCUGGCAUUGUCAGUGACACAGAGUCUUGGAGUGGGGAAUCAUUGCCACCCAAGCGGGAUCGACGGCGUCUGUCCAGUGCAUCCUCAAGUGGGCAGUGGAACCCAACUCCUGAAUGGGUGGUAUCCUGGAAAUCAAAGCUACCCCUGCAAACAAUCAUGCGGCUGUUACAGGUCUUAGUCCCCCAGGUAGAGAAGAUUUGCAUUGACAAGGGCCUCACCGAUGAGUCUGAGAUUCUGAAGUUUCUGCAGCACGGCACAUUGGUGGGGCUACUCCCUGUCCCUCAUCCCAUCUUGAUUCGCAAAUACCAGGCUAACUCCGGUACUGCUAUGUGGUUCCGCACCUACAUGUGGGGAGUUAUUUAUUUGAGGCAGUGCCUAGUGUAUCAUGAAGAGUGACCAGACUUUACUUGCCAGCUGAGGCUAACAAACAUUUGGGGUUGAAAUGAAAUGAGCUUAGAAAUAAAGACAAUUUAGAAGACCAACAGCAAUGGAAAAGGAAUGUGGAUCCUCCGAUCUGGUAUGACACAGAUGUUAAGCUGUUUGAAAUUCAGCGGGUCUGAGGAAUGGGAAGAGAGAAGGAACUCGCUUGUUAGAGCAAAACGCUGGACACCAGGAUCUUGCUAUGCGCUUCUUCAUAACAGCUCUUCCUUCAUUUCACUGCCUGCUGAGUGAUCCAAAGGACUGUCACUUCCAUUUCUUGAGCUACCACUUUAAAGCUCAGAGACACCCCACCCCACCCAUUCCCCCACCACCACUUCCCAAGGUUCCAAUCUUGAUGGAAGGCUGCAAAAGGAAAGGCAGCCUUGAUGGUUACACUUGAAACCAAACCAUAUCUCCUCACAAGAGAUCUCCCUUGUGCAUAUCCUCCUGGGUGCAAUUCUGAACCUGUCUAGGUAGAGACGUAAUCUCUUCACUUCCUAGUCAGGUUCAGCCUUUAGAUUAAAAGACACUGAAUGUAAAGAGUUGCAAAACUGGACCAAUGAAGGAAGUCCUACUGCAAGAGGUAGCUCAGUAGUUCUUUUUCCAAAGAAUGUAUCCAAAUUGUACAUCUUUCAUGUUAUAGCCUCCCCCCCCCCCACCCCCUGCUGCUAUUCUACAUUACUGUACCUAGCCAGGAUGGGAUAGUAGCUGCACUUACUAGAUAACACUGGAAUUCUAUUUAUUUUAAGCUAAUUCAGGGUUUAAGCUGGUCUUCUGGGUUUGAUCCUCUUCUCUCUGCCACUGGACAUGUGCUUAACUACUUUGUACCUGGUGCUAUAAUGUAGCAUCCAGAUUCCUUUCCCUUGUCUUCCCUCGGAGAUGGUCCCUUUUAAAGGUGGAUGUCCAUCUAAGAUGCACUGCAUCCUUUUUCAUCUAGGCUUUAAUGCAAAACUGGAGAGGGAGAAAUUGCUCCCCUGGAAAGCACACAUGAAUUUAGCUUCUCUCUGUGAGAAGCAGUCUGUUUCCCUUGCCCUGUCUAGUUCCUUUCAGCUUGGUUAGACAGACAUACUAGCCUGGGAAAGAACUGUUGCUGGAAAAGCUGGGUUGGGCUGUUGGGCCCACAUUACUUUUCAGGGAUUUAUGGAGAUCCUUUUGUUGCAAACAUGACAAAUGCAGGAGACAAGCCUGCUGGAAUGGAGCUGAAUUCUUUGGGAGCUUGCAUUGUGCAGUUCCUAGACUAGAUUCAUUUAAGCUAGACUGGCGGAAAUGUGCAUUUCUGUCUAGCUAAGUUCAUGAGGGAUUGGCAAAGGCUGACCUCCAGGUCAUCGUAUUGUUUCUCAUGAUACAAACCAACAUCUUCUGACUUGUUUGGAAGGAUCUCCACUCAUGGUUUAUGGUCUACUGUUUGGAAUCACAGUUGUAUAAAGCUGUUCUCGCUCACCACAGAAGACGACAAGUAUGUUCUAUAAUUGCUCUUUACUGACCUGCAGCCAGCCCUGAGCUUGAACUAGAAGUUCUCAGAUUUGGGUGGCCAUUUUGCUGUACUCUCCCCUCCUCACACAUCCCCCCCCCCCACAGGGGCUGUAUUUUCAAAUUUGAAAUCUAGCUAAACAUUGCCACCUCAUGCUAUAGAAAAGGGUGAGUAGGUAUGUCAACCUUGUGUAUCAAUGUCAUUUGCUCAUUUUGUUCAAGAACAGAAUUAACUAAGAUCUAGGUUUCUUAGGUUAUUCAACACAGACAGAUUAUAGCUAGUGGCUUAGAUCUGGACUAUCAAACCAGGCAUGUAGGCAUGCAUGCCUACUUUGGAGGAUCAGAAUUAAUUGCAUGUUUCCCUCUGUGCAGUGGGCAUGGUGAAUUUCAGGGAUCCUACUUUCCCCUCAGAUCACCCUGUAACUGGUGAAAAUAUGUUCCUGAGGGCCAUGCAGCCCUCGGGUACAUACUCUUGUGUGUCACAGAAUGCUUCUGGGAGGAGGAGUGAUGGGUGACAUUAAACUCCCUCAUAGCUCCACCUCCUGGAAGUGCUCUGUGAUACAUGGAAGUACGUCCCUGCGGCCUGCACAACCCUGAAGGACAUAUUUCUACCAGUUACAAGGCAAUCUGAGGGCAAGGUAGGAACCCUGAAACUCUCCCUCCCUGCUGCACAUCAGCAGCCUUAGUGGGGAAGGUUGCUGAAGCAGCCACACAGUUCCCUGUUCUGCUUUGAAAGUCCAGAUAUGAGCCACUAUGUAGGUCUUAUUCUAGAUAUUUUGAAAGUCAGAUAAUUUCCCUCCUACUUGCGCUUUUAACUCCCUGAAUGUUGUUUCAUGUCACCCUUUUGUCACUGACCAAACUCUUAUCUGCUCACUUCACCCUUCCACCGCCACUGGCAGAUUGAAUAUUUUUUGGGUCUCAAAUGUGGUUUGGAACGGCUAGCUGAUUGUCUCACGUUCAAGUCUCAUGUCAAAGGGAAAAUUCUCUCUAUCAGACACCGGUCUAUCUCUUCCCUCUAUAUAUACACACACACUUGGUGGUCUUCAAUCUCUUUAGUUAGUAUUAAUAUGUUCUUGUGAAUUUAUCUGGACUUUUGCAUUUUUUGGUGUUGCGAGUCUGAUCUUUGUUCCAUGAAGAAUCAAAAUUGCACUGUAAACUAUUUGCUUACAUUAUAGAGAUAAAAUUAUCUUAAACACUGCCUGGCUUUACUCUGUAUCACAAGAGGUUUAUGAGCUUGUUUGUGUUACUGUUUGAUUUACGAUGAUCUGUCAUCCUUUGCAACAUGUACCUUUCCAUUAAAGGCAUGGCUGCACAGGA
Molecule: RNA transcript, 5359 nt
Organism: Hemicordylus capensis (graceful crag lizard)
Lineage: Eukaryota; Metazoa; Chordata; Lepidosauria; Squamata; Cordylidae
Gene: HID1
Gene name: HID1 domain containing
Exons: 20
Source: RefSeq, a predicted model, not a curated record